RNAcentral lists this transfer RNA (72 nucleotides) under Loxodonta africana (African savanna elephant). It matches the Rfam family "tRNA". Rfam says of the family: Transfer RNA (tRNA) molecules are approximately 80 nucleotides in length. The record is from Rfam by way of RNAcentral. Lineage: Eukaryota; Metazoa; Chordata; Mammalia; Proboscidea; Elephantidae.
GCCCUGGUGGCGAAAUGGUUAAGGGCUUGGCUACUAACCAAAAGGUUGGUGGUUUGAACCCACCCAGUGGCU